UCCACAACGAGAACAUGAGGCAAGGCC
Molecule: non-coding RNA, 27 nt
Filed under: Homo sapiens (human)
Lineage: Eukaryota; Metazoa; Chordata; Mammalia; Primates; Hominidae
Source: RNAcentral